GACUGGGAUAACAGAGGGAAACUUCUGAUAAUACUGGAUAAGUUAGUAUAUCGCAUGAUAUGCAAAUGAAAGCUACGGCACUAAAGGAGAGCUUUGCGUCCUAUUAGCUAGUUGGUAAGGUAAGAGCUUACCAAGGCGAUGAUAGGUAGCCGGCCUGAGAGGGUGGACGGCCACAAGGGGACUGAGAUACGGCCCUUACUCCUACGGGAGGCAGCAGCG
This 219-nucleotide ribosomal RNA is filed under the name uncultured Leptotrichia sp. RNAcentral describes it as "partial 16S ribosomal RNA". It matches the Rfam family "Bacterial small subunit ribosomal RNA", at positions 136 to 356 of the family's 1533-position model. The record is from RNAcentral. Lineage: Bacteria; Fusobacteriati; Fusobacteriota; Fusobacteriia; Fusobacteriales; Leptotrichiaceae.